AACGAACGCUGGCGGCAUGCCUAACACAUGCAAGUCGAACGAGACCUUCGGGUCUGGUGGCGCACGGGUGCGUAACGCGUGGUAACCUGCCCUUAGGUUCGGAAUAACUCCCCGAAAGGGGUGCUAAUACCGGAUAAUGUCUUCGGACCAAAGAGUUAUCGACUUUGGAUGGGCCCGCGUUGGAUUAGCUAGUUGGUAGUGUAAAAGCCUACCAAGGCGACGAUCCAUAGCUGGGCUGAGAGGAUGAGCAGCGACACUGGGGCUGAGACACGGCGGAGACUCCUACGGGAGGCAGCAGUGGGGAAUAUUGGAAAAUGGGCGGAAGGCUGAUCCAGCAAUGCCGCGUGAGUGAUGAAGGCAGUAGGGUUGUAAAGCUCUUUUAUCCGGGAUGAUAAUGACAGUACCGGGAGAAUAAGCACCGGCUAACUCCGUG
RNAcentral lists this ribosomal RNA (433 nucleotides) under uncultured bacterium. Its description in RNAcentral is "partial 16S ribosomal RNA". It matches the Rfam family "Bacterial small subunit ribosomal RNA", at positions 29 to 507 of the family's 1533-position model. The record is from RNAcentral.